RNAcentral lists this ribosomal RNA (115 nucleotides) under Colletotrichum graminicola M1.001. Lineage: Eukaryota; Fungi; Ascomycota; Sordariomycetes; Glomerellales; Glomerellaceae. The record is from RNAcentral.
ACAUACAACCAUACCUACUAGAAAACCCAGGAUCCCGUCCGAUCUCCUAUAGAUAAGCUAGCAAGGGCCCGCGAAGCGAAGGGCUACGCGUCGGUACGUGGGCAAGUGAUUGGUU